This 458-nucleotide ribosomal RNA is filed under the name Actinomycetales bacterium B4. RNAcentral describes it as "bacterial SSU rRNA". It matches the Rfam family "Bacterial small subunit ribosomal RNA", at positions 54 to 524 of the family's 1533-position model. Lineage: Bacteria; Bacillati; Actinomycetota; Actinomycetes; Actinomycetales. The record is from RNAcentral.
CAUGCAAGUCGAGCGGAAAGGCCCCUUCGGGGGUACUCGAGCGGCGAACGGGUGAGUAACACGUGAGCAACCUGCCCCUGACUUCGGGAUAAGCCCGGGAAACUGGGUCUAAUACCGGAUAUGACCAUUGCCCGCAUGGGUUGGUGGUGGAAAGUUUUUUCGGUUGGGGAUGGGCUCGCGGCCUAUCAGCUUGUUGGUGGGGUGAUGGCCUACCAAGGCGACGACGGGUAACCGGCCUGAGAGGGCGACCGGUCACACUGGGACUGAGACACGGCCCAGACUCCUACGGGAGGCAGCAGUGGGGAAUAUUGCGCAAUGGGCGGAAGCCUGACGCAGCGACGCCGCGUGGGGGAUGACGGCCUUCGGGUUGUAAACCUCUUUCAGCAUCGACGAAGCCUUCGGGUGACGGUAGGUGCAGAAGAAGCGCCGGCUAACUACGUGCCAGCAGCCGCGGUAAU